UGCGCAGGCGGUUUUGUAAGUCUGUCGUGAAAUCCCCGGGCUCAACCUGGGAAUUGCGAUGGAGACUGCAAGGCUAGAAUCUGGCAGAGGGGGGUAGAAUUCCACGUGUAGCAGUGAAAUGCGUAGAGAUGUGGAGGAACACCGAUGGCGAAGGCAGCCCCCUGGGUCAAGAUUGACGCUCAUGCACGAAAGCGUGGGGAGCAAACAGGAUUAGAUACCCUGGUAGUCCACGCCCUAAACGAUGUCUACUAGUUGUCGGGUUUUAAUUAACUUGGUAACGCAGCUAACGCGUGAAGUAGACCGCCUGGGGAGUACGGUCGCAAGAUUAAA
This 330-nucleotide ribosomal RNA is filed under the name uncultured Pseudomonadota bacterium. RNAcentral's name for it is "bacterial SSU rRNA". It matches the Rfam family "Bacterial small subunit ribosomal RNA", at positions 568 to 898 of the family's 1533-position model. The record is from RNAcentral. Lineage: Bacteria; Pseudomonadati; Pseudomonadota.